AUGGCGAAGACGACGCCAUCAUCAAAACUGGGAGUAGCAGCAGGAGGCGCGACCCUUGCUACAAGGAGAACAGCAGCUGAAGACCAUCAGGAAGAAGAUUGCCAUGUGCCACGACAUAGCCGUGCUGAGCAGGCUAGGGAGACAGCGGAUGGAGCCAAGGGUAGCGCAGAGAAAGGACGACAGGGGGUCGGGAACACUUUGUUUUCCCGCAUGAACGUAGAUGGAAAAGACACACCUAAUGGACGAAGGAAAUCAAAGGGUAUGGUUGCCGAGAGGAGGAAAGCAAGCGGAGUAUAUUUGCUUCUGUUGUGA
Molecule: ribosomal RNA, 312 nt
Filed under: Triticum aestivum (bread wheat)
Lineage: Eukaryota; Viridiplantae; Streptophyta; Magnoliopsida; Poales; Poaceae
Description: partial small subunit ribosomal RNA
Source: RNAcentral